UGGCGACCGGCGCACGGGUGAGUAACACGUAUCCAACCUGCCGAUAACUCCGGGAUAGCCUUUCGAAAGAAAGAUUAAUACCGGAUGGCAUACGAAUAUCGCAUGAUAUUCUUAUUAAAGAAUUUCGGUUAUCGAUGGGGAUGCGUUCCAUUAGUUUGUUGGCGGGGUAACGGCCCACCAAGACUACGAUGGAUAGGGGUUCUGAGAGGAAGGUCCCCCACAUUGGAACUGAGACACGGUCCAA
This 244-nucleotide ribosomal RNA is filed under the name uncultured bacterium. Its description in RNAcentral is "partial 16S ribosomal RNA". It matches the Rfam family "Bacterial small subunit ribosomal RNA", at positions 89 to 334 of the family's 1533-position model. The record is from RNAcentral.